CCUACGGGAGGCAGCAGUAAGGAAUAUUGGGCAAUGGGCGAAAGCCUGACCCAGCAACGCCGCGUGAGGGACGAAGGCCUUCUGGUUGUAAACCUCUUUUCUGGGGGACGAGACCAGGACGGUACCUCAGGAAUACGUCUCGGCUAACUACGUGCCAGCAGCCGCGGUAAGACGUAGGAGGCGAGCGUUAUCCGGAUUUACUGGGCGUAAAGCGCACGCAGGCGGCUUCGUUAGUCGGAUGUGAAAGCUCCGGGCUUAAGUGGGAGAGGGCAUGCGAUACUGGGGGGCUUGAGGUUGGAAGAGGUGUGGGGAAUUCCCGGUGUAGGGGUGAAAUGCGUAGAUAUCGGGAGGAACACCGGUGGCGAAGGCGGCCCCCGGGUCCACACCUGACGCGGAGGUGCGAAAGCGUGGGGAGCAAACAGGAUUAGAUCCCCCUGUAGU
RNAcentral lists this ribosomal RNA (441 nucleotides) under uncultured Anaerolineae bacterium. RNAcentral describes it as "partial 16S ribosomal RNA". It matches the Rfam family "Bacterial small subunit ribosomal RNA", at positions 338 to 794 of the family's 1533-position model. Lineage: Bacteria; Bacillati; Chloroflexota; Anaerolineae. The record is from RNAcentral.